RNAcentral lists this long non-coding RNA (38870 nucleotides) under Linum usitatissimum (flax). RNAcentral's name for it is "long non-coding RNA (LUSI_LNC004577)". The record is from RNAcentral. Lineage: Eukaryota; Viridiplantae; Streptophyta; Magnoliopsida; Malpighiales; Linaceae.
AUAGCUUCUUUCCAUUCACAAAAUUGCAUAGUUAAUGCACUCUUUCGCUUUCCCAGUUGAUUGAUGUUUGCUAUAUAUAGUCUGUUUGAUGUAUACCAGCUAAUUAGGGUCUUCUAUUCUAUUUAACAACUCCAUCAUCUCCUCAAUCAUCAUCACCUUCUUCUUCUUCGACUUGGAUCUUCAUGAUCUAAAAUCUCUAUGGCUCACCUCGCCGGAUUCUCACAUUCCCGGCGAUAUCACUGCGAAAAUAAUCCAAUCACGGGAUAACAGUGGCUUCUAAUCUGGCAGUGCUGCUCCCCUGCUGGUGAUGAUGGGUCUUCGUCUUGUGUAGCGCUGGAAGAGAUCUCAUCACCACAACUCCCUUUCUUUCUCCUGGCAUUAAUCUCGUAGGGAUCCCUCUGUUUAUGUUUACAUCGUCUAUGUGAAGAAACAAUCCCAACUUUAUUCAUCCUUAUCUUUUGUUGCUUGUCGGAUUGUUAUUGUACGUUAAAUUGCACAUCUCCCUACUUACUUGAUUCAGUGGCCGAUGAAGCAACCUGGGUGAGGAUCGGAAUAAACAGAUGAAGAGAGAUUAUCUCUGACUUUUUUUGACGACAUAGGAGCUCUUCGGAGAAGUAGGCGACGAAAGGACAUUAAAAAGCAAAUUAGGAACAAUAAUUACAGGUACCAUGGAUUAUUGGAUUUAGUACAUCGAUGUGGCGAGUAUCAAAGACUUAAUACCUCCAACCCGCUGGUACCUACUUUGUUUAUUUAUAGUACUUAUUAGUAAUUAUAGGUAUAAAUUAUUUUGCUUUCUGAUUAAUUUCUCUUGAUGCUACUUUUUGUAACCUUGAUUUUCAGUAACCCAAUUCCUCUAUGAAUAUAUAUGGCGGGUCGAGCGCUAUUUCCUCUUACUCUUUUAUUCAAAGAAGCAAUCAUUUUCGAUCAUAAAUCUAAAGGUUCUAACACAAAUAGAAUUGAAAAAUACUAAGUUAGAAGUAAAAACAUCGAGAUUUAUUAAAAUAGCCGUUCUAUUGCAGCGAGGGAUUAAAAAAAAUAAUAGGGCCGCCGGACUUUUGCCAUAGUCACUGGACAUCUAUCGCCACCGUCAAACUUGCACCAUAGCCUAUGGACCUUCGAUGUCAACCGUUGACCACCAGCCAUAUGAAUUCACGCGAUUAAUUUUUCAAAAGUGUUAUCUGCCUAGGAACUUGGUAGGCCAACAUGUGGUUCGGUGAUGAAGAAUCGGGUUGGUAUAUGUAGGUGAACGAUUCUUUCUAGAUGUUUUGAGUACUCUAACAUUACAAAAAAUAGAACUUUAGCAUUGAUAGUUUAACAGCGGCCACACAACCCGCUGUUAAAAAAAAUAUGGAACACCUAAUCGCGACAACUUCAGCCGCUGUUAAAAUUGUUCACAAACGAACAGCUCAGAUUGUUUAACCUCAUAAAUCUAUGGCCCAUAUUAAGUCUAGAAACUCUAAUUGCUUCUCCUCUUCCUAGAUUCAUAUAUAUUUGCCACUUCUUUUCUUCUUUUAUUCAUCAUCUGAACCAUCACAAUCUCUUAAUCCCUAAACGCCUCUUCUUUGUCAUGUACAGAUCUUUCUCCCCUUCACAAUCUCUGAAUCUCAUACACCCUCAACCCAGCUAACCCAUCCGAUUUAAAUCCUAUUUUCUCCCCCUGGCACUGUUCCAGCGGAUGAAAUCCAUCAUCCUCUCAUCCAAGUGGCUCAACAGCUUGACGAAGUUGACUGGAUUUCGAGCGGACGAGAGAAGGAGUAAAGAAGAGGAGUUAUACAAGCUGUUCCGGCGGAAAGAAGAUCACGAGACGACUGACGGCUAGGGUUAUGGUGGCUAGGGUGUUUCUAUUCUGGAUAAGAUUUCGUUGGUGGUUGUGUAUAUUGUGAUUUAGAUCUGAAAUUUUGUAUUGUGGCUUCUGUAUUUGGAUAUGCUUCUAGGUCUUGUAAUUAUUGGAUACAAUUGUUUUCUUAUUAGUGGAUAUCAUCUGUGUUGUUGCUUUGUUUAUUAUUCUUGCACUUUGGAUAUGUAUGCAGUUAACUUGAUGAACAACAAGUUUGACAAAAGAUGAACACAGAUUUAAUCUUGACGAGUCCGAUCUAGAUUUGCUUUUGACGAACAAAAGAUGAACAAGUUUUGAAGAAUCUAGAUUUGCUUUUGACAAAAGAUGAACACCGAUCUAACAGCGGCAACCAAUUUGCUGUUAGGGUUUUAAUUCAGCCACUGUUAGGGUUUUAAUUCGGCCGCUGUUAGGAUUUAGAUUCUAACCGUGGCCCACGGGCCGCUGUUAGGCUUCUUUAACAUUGCUCUACCUAGCGGAUAAGUGGCCACGGGUUAAACUUCCUAACAGCGGUCUAGAACGCUGUUAAACCUUAUUUCUGCCCUGCUAGGUUAGAGUUUUCUUGUAAUGUAAAACAUAUCUUGUUAAGCCAUGUAAGAUAGUGAGUUUAUCGAUAAAUGUAUGAGGAGGUAAGAGUAUGGAGAUAAAAAUGGGAGAGAUAUGGAGGUACUCAAGAUGGCUCGUAGGUGUGUAUGACGCCCUAAGGCAAUUAGCUUGUUAUAUCGAUUGGACUUUAGGUGUUUGGGAUAGGCGAGUGUAUAUGUUUGGUUAUGAAUGAUGUACCUUUCCUUUUAUAGUCCCCGGAUAAUCUGAAUCAUGGUGUCACAUAUCACCUACUAAUUGGUGACUUGCUUGAGGAUGAAUAUGAACACUUGAUCGAGAAUAGUUGAGAUUCGUUCUAAAGUUAGGAAUUGAAUCUAUUCCCUAAGACCUCUUCAUAGGCGUGCACUGCACGCCUUGAGCCGAUGGUGUGCGCCUUGAGCCGACUCUAUAGUCCUAAAAAUAGUUAAAGGCUCAGGGUCUAUCCGUUAGAACUUAGGUCAUCUCUCCAUCCCAAAAUUUAUUUAGAAAUUUGUAAUUGUAUUCAUAUUGCCACAUCAACAAGUUUAGCAAUUCAUUUAAUCAACAAUUUUCUACCACCUCCAUCCCUAAUUUGUUUAACAACUUUUAUUCAACAUUUAUAUAUUCCUUAACAAUAUUUUCCCACCAAUGAUAAUAGAAAAUUUUAAUUAUAAAUAUUUUUUUUAAAAAAGUGUUUCAUUUACUUACGUGGCAUUGCUAAUUGACUUUUUAAAUAAUUAUUUUUUAAUUUAUCAAGUUUAUAUAACUUUUUAAUAAAUAUUAUUUAGGUGUCAUCUCAUCCUCUAUAUUAUUUUAAUAAUUUUUAAAAUUUUAUAACGGACAUGCUCUUAAAACCCAAUUCUUUCUAAGCCUACAGUUAUCAUUUCGUUAAUCCUCUUACAUCACAAUUCCAGGCUCUGUGUCAACAUAUUACAUAUUGGAAAACCAAACAAGAAAUUGCAAUUCCCACAAAUCCCUGCAAAAUUUUGAAUUCCCAAUAUCUCGAGUAAUUCGCAAAUCCAAUUUCCUAACCCGACCAAGCCAUAACAUUGGUGGUUAACUGGCGGUUAUAAUCAUUACAUUUUCAACCAUCUUCAUUUCACCGCUCUGCCGGACCGUGCUCGAACUGCAGUCUGCAAUCAAAGAACGGCGAAUUGAAAACGACAGAGAUUCGAUUGAAAAAGUUUGGGAUGUAUACCUUUACGUCAUAGUUGUCUGGAGGGUGCCAUUGAGUGACGGGAAUCUGUUUUAGAACAAGACAAAAUGAAGCAGCCACGAAGCAGAGCAUAUACAGCCCCAAAUUCAGAGGUGGUAACACUUGAGAUUUAAACGUUCAGUUAAGGCGGCCAACAGAGAUGAGGCAAAAGGGGAUAAGAAGCGAUACACUGUAGCAGUCAACGGCUGCGAAAGAAAGGCAAUACUGCACCUGCACUGCAAUUGCCCAGCCUCUAUGGAUUUUGUAAUAUUGUAUUCUAUUAUACUAAGUAGAGUUGUAGCUAGAGCAACAUCUUCUGGUCUCUGUUUCUGCUAUUCUUACCUUGGAAAAAUAUUUGACAUUUUUCACAGCUUAGUCGCUUACGCGCCAUCUUCCCGCUUGUCUUAUCCAUUAGCUAAAAAUAGUUGUUAUGAGAUAGAAGUAAGUUAUCUCAUCAUUCACACACGAAUAGGUUCGGUAAUGAGACGGAUUUUGAGUGGGUGUAUCUAUAGUCUAUAUCGAUUUUUAUAUUCAUUUGUAAAAUUAUCGUUCAUAUCCCUAUUUGAAUAUCAAUAUUCAUAUUUGUUUUUAAAUUUAUAAAUUUCAAAUAUUUAUGGGUAUCUCAUCCCAUACAACUUAAUUAAAAUUUUAAAAAAUAAGACUAUCACAUAAUCUAAAGACAUAAAUCAUCAUUUUACAUUGAAACAUAACAGAAUAAUCUCACAAAUAAUUUCACUGUCUCGAUUAAUAAUUUAGUAAUAUGUUUGGUAACUAAUAAAUAAAGAAUUAAAUAUAUUUUUACAUAUUUGGUAAGGUACGAGUAUGGGACGGGGUACCUAUAAACUCAUCCCAACUUAAAUAUAACCAAAUUUUUUACCCAAAUUCAGUUUUAUUUAUACAUAUAAUCUAUUUUUUCAUACUACUUAUAAAAAUGGCUGAAACUUAAUUAAACGAGAGAUAUAAUUCAUUUGGGGAAAAUAGAUGCGUGGAAAAAAUAAUAUUUGUGUAUAAAUAAUGAGACGAGUGCUUAGUCCUAUCGAAUCGGUUUUUGAGGCAAUUGAUUUUGAAUGGUUUUGAGGAAAGUUAAAAUACGAAGUUAGUUAACCAAUGAAGUUAAUUACUUUUCUCUCAUUGUAAUCAGUUUGUAGGUUAUACCUCACAGAUUACCCAUCAUAAAGUUAUACAAUUUGAGCUUCCUCUGAGUAAUAAAAAGCACCAUAUGCUAUUUGCAGUAAAAAAUAAUAAUGAGACGAAUGAGAAGGAACUUUACUCUAUCUAUUAUACAGACGUUCGGGGUUUGGACUCGGCCAGAAGCAGGCAAAGGAAUAGUAGGAACUAGGAACGAGAGAGAGAGUUGUUGUUGCGCAGUAAAAAACAACAGUCCUAAGGGGCAGCAUUUUUGCUGGUUGACUGGGUACUUGGUCGUCUCUUCUUGUCAUUUUCUUUCUGUACAAAAGCAUCUUCCUAUUUCUUUCUUGGACCAAUUGAGAGGUUCAAACUUUUAUCAGAUAGACUCUCAGAGAAACUUUCCCAAGUUGCUCCUCUUGCUUCAAACAAAAUCCAAAUUCCCCUGUCCUGUCUUCCCGAACCUAGCAGAUUCUUUCCAUCCCAGUGUUCUUUUCCCACACACUGGUUGACUGGUAGUUAAAAAGUUCGUAGCUGUGGAUCGAGAUUCCGCUACCUUCAUUUUGUUUCUUCUUGUUGUUGUGGGUUUAGCUCCAGAGGGAAGCAUCUGGAGGUUUUUCUGUACCGGUUAUGUACCUCGCAGACAAAGUUUCUUCCUUUUCCCUCUUUACUUUGCUCCUCUACGGAAAGGAAGCUGCUUUUCUCUAACUUUUUCCCCAGUGGAGCUUCGUUUGAUUUUUAUAAUUCCAUUGGUGUUUCGGAGCGGAGUUGGGUUGUGACUUGUGACGUACAUAUCAUAAGGCAAGCCUCCUCCUUGAUUCUUUUCGUCAUGAUAAAAACGGUUUUGACUUCUCUAAUCAUAAAGAUUGAAGUUUGACCAGUUGCUCGUUUUGAUUCACAGGUCGUUUGUUACUUCAAUUUCAAUGGGAUCUGAUGCCGCGGAGGAAGUGGAGAUUCCUCUUCAUUUGUAUUCUUUCAAGGUAGUGAUAUUUUCAGCAAAAAUCUUUCAACUUUUGACUGGAUGGUUAAUUUGAGGUGUUGCUAGAUAUUAUCUAGUGCUGGUAGAUUUGACCUUUCCAGUUCUAGAUAUGAUAGUAUAUUGAAAGUAACAGAAUCCGAUCCUUAUUUAUAGGUGUAUCAUUCGAUGUGUGGUCAGCUGAUGAAGUUGGUUGAAAGGAUUAAACAAAUGUUUCCUCGGAUAGAAGAGUCUCGUCCUCGAUGCUCAUCUGGGAUAGACGCACUGGUCUCAUUAAGCAAUGCCCUUGAGCGUGCUAAGCAACUUCUUCAGUAUUGCUCGGAGUCAAGCAAACUUUACUUGGUACAUAGACAGCUUCUACUUUUGUCACAGUUUUUCUAUUUCCCAUGUGUUGCCACCAAUCCAUGAACAGUACUGAUAUGAUACCAAACCUUAACUUAUUAGGGAAGCUACCAUCCAUUAUUGCUGAUGAAUUACUUGGCAUUCAUUGAUGGGGUAUUUUAAUCUGGCUUCAGGUAAUCACUGGAGAAGCAACAGUUGCAAGAUUUUUAAGAUCAAGGAAGCUGAUGGUGCAAAGUUUGAGUCAGAUCCACACAAUGGUUCUUGGGAGCUUGGCUGCUGAGGUAUAACUGUGUUCUCUUUGCCUAGAAAUGUCGUUUUGUUCUCCAUUGGCUCUAAAGUGUUACCAAGUGGUGCUGUUAAAGUUACAGAGUUCAGUAGCAGCAUAUACUUUGCAACAUGCCAAUUUACUAAUUUAGGUCAUGUGGGAAUUUGAUGUUUAUUUUUUUAUUGCUAAUGUGCAGAUUUCGCCAAUUAUAGAUGAUCUCGAGGAUGCAAACUUUGUAAUGGAGACCUCCGAAGAGGAGGCUGGAAAGGUACUGCUUGAAUUGCUUCAUCAUGGAACUGAUUCAGCAGAAUCUCAAAUGAGAGCUUUUCAAGUUGCUCUCUCAAAGCUUCACAUUAUCUCCCAGAGGGACGUAGUAAUAGAGGGGAGAUCUAUCAAGAAGUUACUUGAUAAAGUUGGUAACAACAACCAAAACAAAACAAAGAUCUUGAAGAUCCUUUUCUAUCUCUUAAAGAAGUACAAAAACUCGAUCCCGGUGAACCAUAGAAGUUCUUCAAAUGAUGAUCAUGAUGCUUCAGCGAACGAUCAAUCAAGUGAAGCCAGGCCUAAUUUGUUAAGUCAUGCUGCACCACUGGAAGAGUUCAGGUGUCCUAUAUCGAGGAGAGUGAUGUAUGACCCUGUCAUCAUUGCUUCUGGACAAACUUAUGAAAGAAAGUGGAUACAGAAAUGGUUUAAUGAUGGUAACAGCACGUGUCCCAAGACAAAACUGAAGCUGGAGAACUAUUCAGUCGUUCCAAACACUGCUUUGAAAGACCUUAUAUCAAAGUGGUGUAUGGACUACGGGAUCAGCAUUGGUGAACCAGUGACAGAACCGUUGAAGUCGCUGGAUCUAUCAUCUGAUUCCAUUGCUAGCUUAGGCAGUGAUAUGAAUGAUCUCCAAUUUCAUCUGGACAUCAGCAGUGUAUCAUUAGGAUCUAUGGAAGCUAGUUACUGUUCCAAUGUCUCUAGCACUAAGGUUGUAGAAGGUUCAAGGUUGAAGGUGAUGGCUGGACACAAGACGUGCGAAUGUAAUGCAAACGUGUACGAGAAUGACAUGGAGUUACUAUCUCGACUCUCAGAGCUUCCUUGGGAGUCUCAAUGCACCGUUAUUUGUGACAUAAAUAGUCACUUGAAAUGUGAUUGCCAAGCUUGGGAUUCAGAGUCAUCAGGAAAGUUUAUUGAACCUCUGGUUCUACAUUUGAGAGAUGCACUUGACCAGUUUGAUCUAGGAGCCCAGAAGGCUGGAUCUAGAUUGUUGCUUGCACUACUGAAUAAGACUGGGUAAGUAACAUUUUUUGGUAAAUGAAUUAUUUGGUUUUUCGCUCGUCAAUUUAAUUUCUAACGUUUCCCUUUGGUUCGUGCAGAAGUGACGUAUCAUGCUUAAAUGAAGAUGCCUACAGUUUGCUGGCAUCAUUCUUGGAGUCUGAAACACUCGAUUCUUCUAUUGCGAUUUUGGAUGCCUUGUCCGCCAAGCCAAACUGCAGAUCCAGAAUCGCAGCAUCCGAGGCGCCAGUUUCUCUCUUAAAGAUUUUGGACCGGGUAGAGAGCAAGGAAAUGCAGGAACGUGUCGUCAGGAUCUUUUACAACUUGUCAUCAAGCAGUGAUGUCUGCCCCAAGUUGGCAUCUCUGGGAUGCAUUCCAAAGCUGGUUCCUUUCAUUAACGACAGCAAUGUUACGAGAUACUGCAUCGUUCUACUGAAGAAUCUGUGUGACACGGUGGGUCAGGCUCGGGUUAGCAUUGCUGAGACCAAUGGCUGCAUCUCUUCGAUCGCUCAACUGCUGGAGAAUGGCAGUGCCGAGGAGCAAGAGCAUGCAGUAACUGUCUUGGUUUCUCUAUGUGCUCAGCGAGAUCAGUACUGCCUUUUGCUGAUGGAUGAAGGUGUUAUUCCUUCCCUCUGUAGCAUCUCGGUGAACGGGAAUGAGAAAGCGAAAGCAAGUGCGUUGGAACUGCUCCGACAGUUGAGAAAUGUCGAGUAUGAAUCCGAGCCGGAAAGAAGUCCUCCUCCUCGUCCUCUUCCUCCUCGACUUAGCGUCGUCUGUGAUGAGGAUGUUGUUGUUCCUCAAGAUAAAGUAAAGAAGUCUGGAUUUCUGAAGAAUAUAGCAGGCUCUCUUGCUUCCAGAAGGAAGAGAUAAUGGUUGAUUUAUAGGUUUAGGUGUUCUCUAAUAUUGCUUAUCUGCCAUAUUGGAAGAAGGUAGGAUUAACUUGUUGCUGUGUUUUUAUCAGACUCCUGCUGGAGCUGGUUAUUGUUGUUAAAUUGGUUAGGUAAACUCAUAUUAGCGUCAUUUGGUAGGUGGAUUUGUUUUUUGAAGCAUAUAAUUCUGUGUGAUUCAUAUAUACUGCAAAAACUGCAGCUGUAUAAUUUUUGUAAGAAAUGUGCAUAUAAAUAUAAUGAUGAUAAUAUAUAUUCUUUUGUUUGGCUUGUACUCCAUUGACCAUUCUUUUGUUUUCUCCUUGAUAAAAAGAAGACGAAAGGGUUUGUUGGAGACAUUUAUCUUUAUGAAUAUAUAUAGCAUCACCUUUUAUCAAAAAAAAAAAAAAAGAAGACGAAAGGGUCAUGAAAGUUCGCUUUUCUCCCUUUUGAACAUGAAUGGUCCUCAGGAAGUUGAAGACCCUGGACAAAACCCAGUCUAGGUUGCUGUUUCUUCAGUCAGAUCCUGAAGAAUCAACGGUUCAGGACUCUGGACAAGUCUAAGUGAGUGGUAGGAUAUUUUAUUAAUUGGAUUUUUAUGACGUGGUUAGUAAAAAUUGGAAUGCAUUGGCUUUGGAAUAUACACGUCUUGUGGUAUCUCAUACACAACCGCCAUAACAUGCUAUUUUUCCAUUGCGCCGUCUAUUUAACGGCAAAAAAGGCUUUCCACUAUCUUAUUCCGGAUUUUUUUUAGAUUUACAAUAUUGUUUUCUUAGCUAAUAACUUUGUAACUUUUGUGUAUCAAUGAUACUUUAAACAAAGAAAAACCAUUGUUUUCUUUUUAGGAGAUAAGUAAUACAAUGAUGUUAGUACAAGAUAAGAAAAAUAAGUAUGAUAUUAGUAUUUAUAUAUGGUGUACGAUUUAGUUUAAAUUUAAUAUCUCUGAAUUAUCGUUAUAUGGAUCAUUAGCAUAGUUCAUCAUCGGCAUCUGGUGUCGCUGGUUGGGUACUCUGUUACUAAUCAGCAGAGACUUUUGGUGUAUCAGUUUCUUCCCAAUGACACCCUCGAACAUCAUCUCCAUGGGUAGUAAAUAACAGCACUGGAGGUGAAUUCAGUCUCUGUUAUUAAGAAAUUGGAGUCUGUGGCUUAUUGGGUAUAAUCAAUCCUCUCUCUCUCCCUUCUUAUUUGGAUUCAUUUCUAAAUGGUAAAAUUGUUAAUGGAACUGUACUCACUUUGAUCACACUUUGUUCUUGAUUGAAUGGAUUGGUUUGAGGUCUUCACUUUUCAAAAGUUGUGAUUUUUUAUUAUCCUCUGUUAUUUUAUGGUUGUGAACUCAACUGUUUUAUUUGUGUUUUGAUGAUGAUAUCCAGACUUUGGACGACUGGAAUCAUGAGCAACUCUUUUGAGUCAUUGUCAUCCUCACCAUUGAUGAAGAGCUUUCCAACUGUGGUGCCAAUUGCUCCAUUAAAACAGCUACCUGAUAAUCCGGAUCCUGCCCCGAAAACAAACUUGUGCAGUCAGUGCAGUCAAAACUAUGAGCAAGAGCUGACAAAGGAUGUGCCCAAGAAUCUUGAGAAACCUUCCACGGACGACGUUGAAGCUAUACUAAUCAGCAGUCUUUGCCUCCUUGGCUGAAGAAUGCCACUACGAAUGAUCAGUCUGCGUUAUGUCCUGUUCUAAUUACCACAGACUAUUUCCUAACACUAGACUGGAAAACUGAACUGUUUGUUUUUGUUCUGUUUUGAAUCUUUAGAUCACUAAGGAUCAAGAAUUGAUAUAGAAGCAGAAGACUAUGGCACUGCAAAGGAGCAACACCAUAGUGAAUACAUUUCAGCUUUGUGUAGAUAUAUAAUUUGUAAUUUGUACAACAUAGAGUAAAAGAGUAGAGAGGAAAAUAGUUGUAAACUUCAAAUCCAAGUUUGAUGGCUUUAUCUAUAAACAAAAGGUAAAUAUGUAAUUGACUAAUCCUGCUCAGUAUAAAACUAUUUUUUUAUCAAAUUCAAUAUCAAUAUCAAUAUCUUCCAAUAUUAUGAUAUUUCAAAUAUAAUAAUAUUUGAGAUAUCGCAUAUCAAACGAUUGAAUAUAAUGAUAUUCGAAAUAUUACGUACUAAAUCAAAUCAGUCCUGAUAUCUAUAAAGUUGAAAUUCUGAUUACCCACUUUGAUUUCUUACGUGGGCCUAAAAGCCCACAGAGUCGAAUUCCAAUAUUCAAGUUCUUUCACUUCUUUCUCGAGAAAUUUCAAAACUCCCUCUGCGAGCUUCGUUCGUUCCGCUCUGGAAAUCGAGCUCGGUAAUGGAAGAGGGGUCUCGUUCGAUUUGAGAGGAACUAGGGUUUCUGACUAAUCCCAAUCGUUCAUGGCGACGGAGUCAUCGGAGGGGGAAGAGGAAGGGAAAAUCACCGGAGGUAGUCAGCAUCUGCUAGUGGACGAUGACCUCAGAGAACUGGGUAAAAAGGCUGCUUGGAGCGUCAGCUCUUGUAAAACCGGCAAUGGCGUCUCUUCUCUCCGCGACGACAAUCUCGACACCUACUGGCAGUAAGUGUUCAAUUCGCGGCUCGCUUGUUGGAUUCAAGCACUUCGAUUACUUUGCCUGGAGUUUCAUUUCUUCGAUUCCUUUCUCCCCUCCUCAGAUCGGAUGGUGCUCAGCCACAUUUGGUGAACAUUCAAUUCCAGAAGAAAGUAAAGCUUCAAGUGAGUGUGAAACUGUAAACCUUUCUUUUAUGCUUUUUUUUUCCUGCUUUCCUCACUCACUCGGUUGUUUGGUUUUGAAGUUGGUUUCAGUUUAUGUUGAUUUCAAGCUUGAUGAGAGCUAUACUCCCAGCAAGAUCUCCAUUCGUGCUGGUGAUGGAUUCCAUAACCUGAAGGUAACUUUUCUUCAAGCUUUAGCGUCUUAGGGCCCCUUGUUUCUUCUAUAGAGCAUUCAUCAAUUGCUGUUGAACUGGUCUCUUCUGCCAAAUGAAAUUUCAGGACAUCAAAACUGUGGAAUUUGUCAAGCCUACUGGUUGGGUUUGCAUUUCCCUAUCUGGAAAUGAUCCUAGGUAAUCGCAAAAGAUUGUUAUUUCUUCUUAGUCAACAUAUACUGUUAUUGAACGCUAUAUGAAAAUGGUGACGGUAGCUUGUUAAUCUAACUCUAGCCAGCAUUUGUUUGGUGUAUAAUCCACCAAUGUUGUUAACAGGGAAACCUUCGUGAACACGUUUAUGUUACAAAUUGCGGUGCUCUCAAAUCACCUGAAUGGAAGAGAUACUCAUAUCCGCCAGAUUAAAGUCUAUGGACCUCGGCCGUGAGUCAUCAUCAUCUUUCUCUUAUGAGGCUGUCUUCUCUGCUAAUUUAUUUUCUGAGAAGAGAAUCAUCGUCCUCAGCUGACUGUAUAACAUGUUUAUAUGUUGUGUUGCAGGAACCCUAUUCCGCAUCAACCAUUUCAGUUCACUUCUACAGAGUUCAUCACUUACUCUACUGUCAGAUGACAUAUUAAUAACCAAUUUAUGUAACUAGCAUACGGGAUAGGAGAAAUUGUAUGAGCUUGAAAAAGAGCUCAGAAAUGAAGCUUGAAUCAUUUGAGCUUGAAAUGUGGUGGAGUAAAGUGCUCCUAUGAGUUCUGAACCGUGAAUUUCUUGUAUUUCAUUCACUUGCUCCCUUUGAUUUCUGAACCGUGUUAUUUCUCAUUAAGUUUGAAUUACAAUGAGAUUGAGUGAUUUGAACUUUGUAACUGUGGUUGUGUAAAUUGCCGGUAUCAUACGAAACAAAGGAAAAUGUGUGAAUGAUGAAAGGUAAGCAAGGUUGAUAAGUUUCUCAAGAUGAUAUAUAUUAUUACUUUGAUUAUUACAGAUGAAAGCUCACUCACUACUCAAAGUAGUUUAAUACUUCAAUCCAUCUCAACCUCCCUCUCCGACUUGGUACAGAUGUUUGAAGAAAAUGGCAACUGCAGAACCUACAAGGUAACCAACUAAGACCCAAAAAUGGUUGAAACCCUUAUGUAACAUGACCAAGGUUCCAAACAACAUAGCUACCGCUCCGAAAAUCAGGUUCUUUCACGUGUCGUUUAAGACCCGGUUACAAUUCAAGCUCCAAGUGUAGUUGUUAAAACAAUUCUCGGCACUGCACAAUUAGAGACAUUGAUACAGAGAACCUUCUGUCAACUUUAGGGGUAUCUGAAACAUUGACCAUAUUAAGACUACAAUACGAGGAACUGGCACCUACCAAAGGUUCAGGCGUGUGAUGUCAUUCACAGGCUGGUUUGGUAUCAAAGCUGCUCAGGCAAAGAGCAAACGCUUGAAAUGCAGACAGCGGGUAGCUGUAAUCCAUGGUGAACAUGUCUUUCCCAAUUUUCCCAAAUUGUAGGAGCACCCUAUCUUGUUCUUCAGCCGACACACAGUGGUGGGGUUCGAAUGUAGCAGAGAGUUGGAAGUUCUUAACGGAAGCAACGGUAACACGCCCCUUGAAAUUUAAGCACCAACAUUGGAGCUGCUCGUGCCAUCUAGGAGACCGAUUUUUCAGAACUAGGGGCUCCCCCGAGCCAGGGAUUACCAUCGGUGACUCUGACGGGCUAGUGGAACUUACGUCUGAGGCCGGUCUCCUUCCUUUAGGAGCCGGUGAAGGAGAAAACUGCUCGCCGGUUACCUCUGGCAAUGAUGUCAUUGUUGGGACGCUCCCUCCUUCUUCCAUAGAGGAGACUGGAAUAGAAUUAAGGACACAAUGCAUUCUCCUUGGCCCUCUCGUGCGGAGCACAUUCAGCUCGUAAUUGAUCGUGCCUAUGUUGUAGUUUAAUGCAGAAGUCCUCGACUGUCUGGAAUGGACUCUACGACUUGCCCCACUGGUCAAAUGUGUUGGAAGCUCAUGUGAAGAUAACCUAUCUGAUAUGGUGAACUUGGUUCCCAUAAAGUUAGACCUAAAUGAAAAAAGGCAAUACCGUAAGUAGAAUGCGAAAAUGCUCGAGCUUUGACAGCGAAACCACCAAACUGUAAGUCCUAAACUUACCUGAGUCUACCAACGUAGUUGUUGCUGGAUCGGGAAAAAUCAUUUCCAACCAAAGAUAUUAUGAAAUCCGUGCAAGUUGUCCUUCUGAUUCUUUUUGCAGCUAAAAGCAAUUUGUCAUUCUGCCCCGCAGCUGCAAAACCAAAUAAACCAUAUUACCUAAAGGCUUUUCUAGUCACUUGGAUAUGCAAAAGAUGCAACCUUUGAUGUGCUAAAUGAAUCAAUCAUACAUUAACCUUAUAGAGAAGGUACCAUUGGGAGCACAUAUUACAUCGAUAGAUCGGAGAACAUUCAGAUCUAACUGAAAGCAACAGUUAAAGAUAAUGUCGCGACUUACAAGGCAUCAAUCCAGCAUACAACCGGAAAGUGGAAGUAGCAGGAUCUCUUCUUAUGUAGCAGUGUAUUGGAGACUCGCGAGGACCGGGCUAUUAAAAACAAACCAACAAGCACAAAUUACCAAAUGAACCAGUGACAACAAUCAAAUCAAUCUGAAACAAGUAGUGCAUUCAACAAGAAGAUCAAGUACCUGCUUCAAUGAUAUAGGGAAUGUGAACCUCCCACACUGUUCAGGAGUUUGCACAAUCUCCCUGGUUACUUCUCUCCAGGACUUACAAACGGAAGCGCAAUGAACGACCGCAGCACGACCAGGCCAUGAGGUCUCAGUCUCUUCCACCCUGCUGAUGAUGUCGAAAAGCAGCUCUGUGGGCAAAUCCGCCCACUGGCCUUGCUGAGAAGAUCGUGCAGCCUCAGCCAUUGACGUUUCAUCAGGUGCUAUAUGUGACCUUGCCCGGCUGCCCCGCCACCGCUUACCUCCUUCGACCCCUCGGGUAGACCUACUCCCAACCCCAUCUUUCAUCUCCUUCAGCUCACGGAAAAUGCUUUUGAAAGACAUCUUUAACUUGCACAUUUAGAAAACGGAGAUAUCAAUCAGCAAAUAGGCAAAUACAAAUCCAAAACGUAAGAAAUGGGAAUUGCAGCAGGACCCCAAAACAAAUCGGCCUUCAAACAAAUGGAAGGAAAUAAAAAAAAAAAAAAAGACGACCCAGAGCUGUACAUUGAUAAACUCGAUAUUCUAAUCACGCCAGGACAAACUCCGCCGAGAGCGAGAGCUUCAAAUUCCAGCCAGGGAGAAACGCCAAGAGCUAGAAUAAUCGUUAUCGAAAGUCUGAAAAAUUUCGCAUUCGUUCGUGUGGAAACAAUCUAUCAUAAAAACAAUUUAAAAAUUGAUUGAAAAAGAGGCCGGAAACAAUGGGUCUCCUGGAAAUGAUAUCACAAUAUUUUAAAAAAAUGGAAAAGAGAGCAGAUCCGGUGAACGAUUUCAAAUCAUGAAAAAACCAACCUGAAAAUGAUGAAUCUGCUCUCGGAUCAGAAUCCGGUUGUUUGCAGAGAACCGCAGAACAGGAGAUGUAGAAGAAAUAGAGAGCGAGAAAUGUGAUUAUGAAUAUAGAAGGAGGAUGAAAUCGGGAAGAGGGGGGUAGAUAUUAAAUUAGAGGGGGUAGAACGGAGGAGGAGGAGGGAGGGCACCAAAGCAGUAAAGCUCCACCGCUGUCUGAGCUACCGAGUGAGCUCUGCUCUGCCUGCCCUGACUUGGAGCCAACACCAGUAGAUGAAGAGGAAGUUAGAGUGGAGAGGAGGAGGAGGGAGUGUUUGAACCAGAAAAGAGAUAGAGAAAGCUUUUCUCCGGAAAUGGCUGCCAUAAGACGGAUCGCCCAUUCAUUUCCCUUCUCUUUCUCUCCUCCGCUUCUCCAUUUUUCUGUUUUUGUUUUUGUUUUUUUGGGUAUUUUCCUUUCGCCGCUAGUUUCGAGCUGUCUAUUUUGCCCAGUCCACCAAUUUCUUUUAAAAAUAGACGAUUAAAUGUACUGACGUUACCUUGUCAAAAAGAAAAUGUAAUGACGUUAUUGUUUGUUGUUAAUUACAUGAAAUAAAGUUUUUAAAUUUAUUGUUACUCUUACCAUAUGUUUAAUACAUAUAUGCUACUACAUUCAUAACAUUAAAAAAGUCUUAGAAAGUUAACAUGUGAGGGAAAAUGGUUUAAUGUAGUAAUGUGACUCGGGCCUGAACUAAUUAAAAAAAAGGUGUAUUUAAAUACAAAAAAUUGUCAAUCUGACAGACGUCUUUCUGCCACACCGUCCCACACGUGGCCUGCAUCUUUGAAUUGACUACAUUCACUCUGCGUUCUUAAUUGCCAUAAAAUAUAUAAACGAAUCUCCAAAUAAGAAAAAAAACACGAUUUUUGACAAAGCGGCCCAAUAAAACGAUAACUGGAUACAUAAACUGCCAUAUUAGGCCCAUAGUUCUGUCAAGAGUCGAAGAGGCCCAGCGAAGCAGAAGAAUAUGCAAAUGUUACGGGCACUGCCAAAACGACCGAGAAUCCAACAUAAGGCGCAGCUUGAACUUGUUCACCACCAAGCUCCCUCCGCCAUUAUCGUUGACAGAUGGCGAUCGUUUCCGUCCCCUCUUCUUUGCCUCAUCUCAAUCUCCGUCGAGCCACCCGGUGAGUUCUCUCUUCAGUUUUCUUUUGAUUCUCCUCUCCUCCUCAUUCUAUUCGUUUGAAUCUCCCUCCUGCCAUUACCCGCCUACUACAGUGCUCCUUCUACUUUCCAGCAUUAAUCUUUCAUUUAAUCGACGAAUUACAGAGCCUCUGGUGUUGCUUCCACACGGACAAACAGAAUUAUGGCGUCGGCGUCGGGAGUGAAGCUCACAGAAGGUGAAGGUAACUUGCCCAAAGUCGUGCUCACUUCUCCUCAUGGUAGGUAAGUGUAAUCGGCGUUGAAUAUUUGACUUUUCAUUUCCCCCCUUUUUGUUUUUUUCCCGUUGAGGAUGAAAUCUAAUGAUGUAUGGUAGUGAGGCGGAGAUUUAUCUAUACGGAGGCUGCUUGACAUCUUGGAAAGUUUCCGGCGGCAAAGAUCUUCUUUUCGUUAGGCCGGAUGCUGUGUUCAACAAGAAGAAGCCAAUCAGGUUUUUGGGAGUUCGAUUCAAUCGAUUCUCAUUUUGGUCUGUUUUGAUUUCCAGUUCGAUCAUAGUAGCCAUUUUAAUUGUUUGCAGUGGAGGCCUUCCACAUUGUUUCCCACAGUUUGGACCAGGCGCGAUUCAGCAGGUAUAGUAUACCCAUUUCCUGCUGUAAAGAAGUACGAUUACUCUACAUGUAUAUUUUUACCCAACUGAUUUAGUUUUUAAUGUUCUUAAUAGCAUGGAUUUGGGAGGAAUAUGGAUUGGUCAGUUGUUGAUUCUGAGAACGUGGAGGGUGAUGCUUUUGUAACACUUGAGCUCAAGGAUGAACCUUACAGUCGAGCUAUGUGGGAUUUUGGUUUCCAAGCACUAUACAAGGUAAGAAGGAAGCAUUCAAGGAUUAGUAACUCAAUCUAGAAAUCUAUAUCAAUCUUCACUGUAUGUGUUCAUCAAUUGUCCUCAGGUCAUUCUAAAUGCAAAGAGCAUUUCCACGGAACUAAAGAUUACAAAUACAGACAGAAAGCCGUUUUCAUUUACCACAGCUUUGCAUACAUAUUUCAGUGUGAGAGAUUCCCCCAUACGAUCUCAGUUGGUUUAUUGGAGUAAUCUAGUGUAUGUGAAUAUGAUGAAGAAGGAACUCCUCCAUUGGUGCAGGCAUCUGUAACAGGAGCAUCAGUGAAAGGUCUGAAAGGUUGCAAGACUUUGAACAAAGAUCCAGAUCCUAACAAUCCAGUGGAGGGACAAGAGGACAGGUGCGAACUGCAUAGUGUGCUUGAGACUUCUUUGUCACAACUGAGUGCCACUUUUUCAAAGAAAUUGUUGGAUGUUAGCCUUCUAUCUAGUUCAGUUUUGGUGCUUACUAGCAGUAUCUCAACCUCUCAGGGAUGUGGUUACCUUCCCUGGAUUUGUAGACUGCGUUUAUCUAGGUGCACCAGCUGAGCUUUCCCUUGAUAAUGGCUUGGGCGAUGUGAUAAGCAUAAAAAAUACCAAGUACGUUGAUUCGUAACUUCCUCUGAAUCCAUUCGUUCUUUCUCUGUUAGAGUAUCCAAUGUAUUAUCCGUUCCAAAAACUAAAGUAGUCAUAUUGAAUAUUGAUCACCCACCGCCUUGCAGUUGGACGGAUGCUGUGCUAUGGAAUCCACACCUUCAGAUGGAAGCAUGUUACAAAGACUUCGUUUGUGUUGAAAAUGCCAAGGUAUUCAAGUUUGCACUUUUUUCUGAACAUUAAAUCCAUCGUUGUCUUAUUUACUUACUGGCUGUAUAUUCCGCGGGUUGUGCAGAUUGGGAAGGUUGAUCUACAGCCUAAUCAAUCCUGGGUAGCUACACAGCAGCUUACUCUCACCUGAAGUUGAAGUUUUGAACUGUAAAACCUUUUCAGCCGUCUGCUAUAAGAGAAAUUCAUUUACUCUGUACAAUUUCUUCUGAAUAAACUGUAAACGGAAUCAUCCACACUAGAUUCCCCUGUAAUCUUCUUACUCUAAUGAAUGCAGUAAUUGCAUUUUUUUCGCAAGAACAUUCUGCAUUUCUGAAACAGUGGAAUCGAGUUCUUGCUAUAAACCUGUGACUGAGUUCUAUAACAUCCCAUGAUGAUCUCUUCUUGUCCGGUCUCAAUUCAAAGUAUGAUUUUGUAAAAUGAAGGCACAUUUGUUUUACUAUGUUGCUUGUUGUUUAGCCUUCUCGGCAUCGAGUUGCCUCAAAGUUGAGGAACUCAGCUUCUCUCCACUGGAUCCGUCAGAAAUUAGAUCCACAACUUCAAUCUGCAACAAAUUCAAAAAACGAAUGAAACUAUCAUCCAGAAGUUGAAAUCAUCGAAGAAGGAGGAAAGGGGAAAAUAGAAAAAACCUUGAGCUGCGAAAGUCCUUUCUCAGCUCUCUUCCUGUUAACUGCCAGGCCGCCUGGUACAGUCUCUUUGCUGCUACAACAACAGGAUGAUGACAACGUUACAGUUUGUUAAAGCAGGCGCAACAGCUUAAUUACCUAACGACUAUAGCUUCCAAAUCUUGGAGGACAAUUGAAGGUCCAUAGGGAUCAAUGAUUGGUUCAGCUUGCACCAGGAGCUCUGGCUUGAUAGACUGCAUAAGAUAUGGCAAUGGAAGGAACAUUCGAAAGACCAAACAACAAGGCAACCAACUCAACAAAAAAAUUCAACUAGUACACAAACAUACCUUGAUGAAGAUUUCAACAUUCUGCAUCCUUUGAUCAACAGGCUGUAUCAGGUCUGCAAACUGAAACCAAAAUUCAAACCCAAAAUUCACAAUCAUUGGAAAUUCAAAUGUUGUUUUCUAUUAGGAAUCCGAACCUGUUUUUUGGCGAGCAUAGGGCCGUGGCAAACUCCAACAACAACCCUUUCCUUAGCCAGCUCGGCUGCUGCCUGAUAAAAUUUCCCAUACUUCACCCAGUUCAGAAAUAUACUCCAUGUGUUGCAAAGAACAACAGGAAGAGAGAAAUUAGGAAGAAAGGUUGGACCUUGAGGAAAAGGCGAUGGCCGUCGUGAAGCCGAUCAAACGUGCCGCCGAGCACCACGGAUCCGUACGUGUUUGGCGGGGAAAUCUUGUAGUUGAUCGCCGUUUCAUCCUCAGCUGCCAUUUGGCUGGCUUGCAAUCAGAGAAAAGUCUGUUUCUCUAUCACCAAAACAAGCAAUUAAAAUAAAAUUUCGAUGGUAGAUAAGCCCAACAUGAAUACUCAGGCCGAAGAAGCAAUUACAUUUGGUUUCGAAGCCCAACCAUGUCUUAAAUUUGGAAAGAACUUGAGGCCCAAGGCUAGCAGGUAAGCCCAACAUGGCUAAUCAUGUGUUGUGUUAUCGUCUAUAUAAAAGGAGGCGAAGAUUGCGUUUCGUAAAAACAUUCUACCUUAGAUUGAUUUGUCGACGUUUGUCCCUUCUCUUUUCAGAUUACGAGCUUCUUCCCCUGCGCAAUCUGGUAAUUCAUCCAUCCUUCUUUCUGGGUUUUUUAGCUUAUUUGUUUCUUCACUUUAGUUCAUCUUGAUGUAUCUAUCUUUUCUCCGGUUCUCCGGUUUGUGCCUUGAAAAGUCUUGAAAAUAAUACACCGCGAGUUCCAUUUAUUCCUAAGCAGAGGGAAGAAACCCUAAAUUGGAGUAUUGGUCGUUUUCAUCAGUGGUUCUUUGAAAUUGGGAUACUUUUUGGAGUGUUUGUUUCAUACCCAGCUCAAUCUAUCGUGUUGUUGGUUUGCCUUAUAUGUUGGAAUCAAUUAACUUGUUGGAUCCCCAAAUUUUAUUUUCAAUUGCAAUCAACCUGCAUCUUAUUUAGAGCUGUUUCUGAUAGCUUGUUUAUUUCUACGAUCUACUUUUUUCUGUCUUCUCUUUUGCUUUCAUAAGGUAUUGCAUGUUCGUCUUUCUAUAUUUCUAUUCGUAAGUUAGCAUGUUUUCAUUAACUUUUUUAUUUUGCAUAUACCUAAAUGUUUUCAUAUACAUUCUCAUGGGUCUCUCUCUACGCCUUCGAUUAGAUUACUAUUCUAUUCUCUGUGGUAAAUGUUCUGCGGUGACCCAAUUAUUUUUUUUGUUCCUUGUUUAUGUAUUGGGAUGGCUGAUGGGGUUCAUUAUGUGUGUGUUUCAUUAUGUGAGUAGAAGAACUUCAGCAUUGAAUAUUUUCUAAAAGCUUCAGGCAAAUCAAUGUCUGUCCUUAAUGCAGUGUGUUUAAUAUAUUUUCUUUACUGAUUGCGGUACUCUGGUAAGAGUUGCUUUCUUCCUUUUCUGAUGGUUGGUCUUGUAUUUGUUGAUCAUCGUCUGGUUGUCUGGUUUAUUGAUGUUUGUAUUGCUUGUUUCAGUUAUCUACAAUGGCAGACAGCGAGGACAAGAACAUUGAGAUUUGGAAGAUAAAGAAGCUUAUAAAGUCACUGGAAGCUGCUCGAGGCAAUGGAACGAGCAUGAUUUCCCUCGUCAUACCUCCUCGUGAUCAGAUAUCACGUAUUGCAAAGAUGCUCGGUGAUGAGUAUGGAACUGCUUCGAAUAUUAAGAGCAGGGUCAAUCGUCAGUCUGUACUUGGUGCUAUCACAUCUGCUCAGCAGAGGCUUAAGCUCUACAACAGGGUUCCUACAAAUGGCCUUGUGUUGUACACUGGGACUAUUUUGACUGAUGAUGGAAAGGAAAAGAAAGUGACUAUGGACUUUGAGCCUUUUAAACCAAUUAACUCAUCUCUCUACCUUUGCGACAACAAGUUCCAUACUGAAGCAUUGAAUGAACUGUUGGAGUCUGAUGACAAGUUUGGUUUCAUCGUCAUGGAUGGUAAUGGCACCUUGUUUGGAACACUAAGUGGGAACACCAGGGAAAUUCUGCAUAAGUUCUCGGUUGACUUGCCUAAGAAGCAUGGAAGAGGAGGACAGUCAGCGCUUCGUUUUGCUAGACUCCGAAUGGAGAAGCGCCACAAUUAUGUGAGGAAGACGGCUGAACUUGCUACGCAGUUUUACAUAGACCCAUCCACCAGCCAGCCAAAUGUAUCUGGCCUAAUUCUUGCUGGAUCUGCUGACUUUAAGACUGAGCUAGGUCAGUCUGAUAUGUUUGAUGCUAGACUUGGAGCAAAGAUUCUGAAUGUUGUGGAUGUGUCCUAUGGCGGAGAAAACGGAUUUAAUCAGGCAAUCGAGCUUUCUUCUGAGAUUUUGUCCAAUGUGAAGUUUAUCCAGGAGAAGAAGCUGAUAGGAAAGUACUUUGAAGAGAUCAGUCAAGAUACCGGAAAAUAUGUAUUUGGUGUCGAUGAUACAUUGACAACUUUGGAUAUGGGUGCAGUCGAGAUUCUCAUAGUGUGGGAGAAUCUAGAGAUCAACAGGUAUGAAUUGAAGAACAGUGCCAACGGUGAGAUUGUAGUCAAACAUUUUACCAAAGAGCAAGAGACCAAUGAAAGCAACUUUAGGGAUUCAUCCACUUCAGCUGAACUGGAGGUUCAAGACAAGAUGCCUCUGCUCGAGUGGUUUGCUAAUGAGUACAAGCGAUUUGGGUGCACUCUUGGGUUUUUAAAUAAAAAAACAAAGGACAAAUCACAGGAAGGGUCCCAAUUCUGCAGGGGGUUUGGUGGUAUUGGUGGCAUUCUGCGUUACCAAGUUGACAUGAGAUCGUUUGAUGAUGUUUCUGAUGAUGAGGGAGGAGUUUAUGAUUCGGAAUAGCAAUCAGCAAAAUCUACAACUUCACUGGUGCAGGAAAGCAGCAGCAGGGAUAAAGAUCCUGCACCAGCAGUUGAGCCAGCAGCAGGUCUGGCUACGGCUCGGGGUAUGAAGAAGGUCUCUGCUACUGAGAGCGUUGAAGAAGAAAUUCACUCUGGUGAAGGUAUUGUCAAUUUCUUCUCCACCCCCUGUUAUUACUGUCUAAACAUUUGUUUACUUACUGUAGUUUUGUUAAAACUUAAUAUCGUCUGCUUCUCUGUUACAGGCGGGGAUGGUGAUGGUAUACAAAGCUUCAACGAGAGAAUGAGCUGCGUUCUGGUGAUGCCUCAGCUGAUUGGUCCUGUGGCUGUCGAUGCAUUUAUGGUGCGGCAGACUGUGAUUAAGAAAAGUCCUCCGAUGGAAGAAGGGCCUCGUAUGAACUAACUUGUGCUGAUUUGAUAAUAUCCAAGUGGUGGUUAUUAGCAUUUCAUGUUUGUCAUAUUGAUGAUUUCAAUAAGUGCUGCUCCAUGUUGGACAUCGUUGGAGUUGCAGUCAGUCGACAAUUGUUAUGUUUUCUUUCGAAUGUGGUUUUGUUUUGCUGCGGAUUGAGAAUGGUUUGUUAAUCGGGAUUUUGCAUAUUUCAUACAAAUAGUAGUGAUUUCAUGUGUGAUAUUUUCUGAGUUUCGAACGGAUGAUUUUAAAUUUUUAUACCGGCUGGUUCAGCUGGCAUUGUUUAAAAUAGGCAAUCACCCACUAUUAGUGUAUGAAAAUAUACACUACAUAUAGUGUAUGUCACAACUAACCACCUAUUGACGAACAUGGCAUGCCGUCAAAUUUUUGUUAAUGUGAGAUGGAAUGGCACCGAAAACUCAAUUUGUGCCAUAUAACGUGGCAAGAUUCACACAUCAAACGGCACAAAACGUAGUAGAUAAUCAUCUAUUUGCUCAGUACAAACCCCCCACGCUGGAAAAUAUAUUUGAGGGAAAAUGGUAAGUCUAGAUAUAAUGGUCUAAGACGUAAUGCCAUAAGACAACUUGGUUAAAUAAUUAUUACUAUAGAUGUAAAGUCAAACGGUAAUUAUGCAGAUUUGCUACGACUAAUCAAAAUAGUUAUAACGAAGCGCACUUACUGGUCAAUUUGAGGUGAUUUCAGAACAACAUCAAACGACUUUUCUAGUACUCCUACCACCAAUGACUCGGUCUCGUCUGCUUAAACUGCAUUUUGCUUGCUUGCUUCUUGGCUCAUCGAGCUGUUUUUUUCCAAGAUUGCUGCAGCGAAGCCUGCAGCCCAGACCUGAAAACAUUUCCCAAGGAACAUGAACGAGUGGUCAAUGAAAACAAACGAAUCUCAAACGCCAAAACCAAAUAUGGCCUAAAAUUAUCAUCAGAAUCAUUCAUUCACUUUUUUUUUCCCACUUGCCUUGUGAUUGAACAGCCCAGCACCUCCUGAAUCAACAACGCAACCUCUGACUUUAUCUGUCACGCCUCCUGCUUUACCUAGCAGAAUUUCAAUAACGUAAGCAUACCUGCAAACCCACCAAUAAUCAAACAAACAUCCCAGAAAGGAAUUUGCUCAACACAACUCUCGACGACAUUUCAAUCAAACCCUACGCCCAAAGCCAGUGUUACUGAAAGUGUGAAACAGCAAACAUGGAUCUCUGUUCAAUUCACCGUCUUCGGUGACCCAAGAAGUGAUGUCGUUAGCCAAUGCAGUGAUCCGUCUGUCCAUUCUUUCCCCUGAAUCAGAACCUAGCAGUUCUCCUACUUCAACGACGAACGUAAUCGCGUGAAUCCCUUGUGAAUUGUACCAUUCCACGUACCUCCUGAGGUGCUUCUGCUUCCCAUCCAGCCAUCCCAGCAAAACCACAGUCUUUUCAGCAUAUUUCCGUCCGAAAACACCACUCCCGCCGCCAGUUUCAGGAGCUGGAUGCCAGGCGAAAAACCCGCCAGUUUCAGGAGCAGGAUUUCCCAUUGGUUUGGAGAGAUGAGAAAACAAAUGCGAGUGGAAAAAAACUAAGAGCAUGGAACUUGGAGGGUUGGUUCGGGGGAAAGAGCGGUAAUUGUUAACAGUGAUCCUAGAUGAUUGUUUGAGAAAAUGCCGAUUCAAAACUCUGCCUACUGCUAGGAAAGCUUUCAUGGAUUUUGCAGAGUUUCAAACGAGUACAAAUCCUUGAUUCGUUGCGUUGGUAGUGAGAGCGAAGAACGUAUAUGUAACGAAUCAUUGACGAAAACGGACCAAUGCAUUUAAAGAAGGGGUUGUCAAGCUGCGGUUACAUACUGUUUUCUCUUUGGUGGGGGAUUUUUCUUUGCCGGUAAAUAAAGUAUAAAUUUUGAAAUAUGGUUUGUCAAUUUAAAACGAGGGAAUCCCAGAACAAAAAAAAAGAGAAAAAAAAAAGAUCUGAGGUGGUGGACGGGUGGCAACUGGCUUUGAAUGAGCCACAACUCCAAAUCCCAGCCACAACUCCGCCUUCUUCAACAAGAAUUUAUCUCUUACUAUUUUGGUCCAACGUCUUUAGAAGGGGCGGACCAUUUUGCAUGGUUGGUAGUUCGAUGUCUUCUUCAUGUGCAGCUGUAUCGUCGUCCGUAAGGUCAGAGCUAUUCAACUCCAGAGCUACCCGAUUAGUCGCGCCAGCGAGGCUGAACCCUAGCAGUAACUUUAUUUCUCCCUCUUAUCUUCUUGGGGCUGUUGAAUUUCUAGUCAAAGUUUGUAACUUUCUGCUUUUCCUGCCAUUUUUCUUAUCUACCUCAAGGAAGUAGAUGUGAAAUUAAUAGGAGAGGGUUCGCAAUCAAGGGAAUUGUGGCUUCAAGCGUUUCAGCUGCUAUGGCUACUGAGUCAAAGGAUCAAGGUAUGNNNNNNNNNNNNNNNNNNNNNNNNNNNNNNNNNNNNNNNNNNNNNNNNNNNNNNNNNNNNNNNNNNNNNNNNNNNNNNNNNNNNNNNNNNNNNNNNNNNNNGGGGUGGGUGUUGUUGUUUCAUGUUCUGCUUUCCAUGUUAAAGGCAUGCUGAGAACAUGGUCUUUUUUGUUUCGUUAAUUGUUGGUAGGAGUUGAGAGAUUGCCCUUCAAGCCAGAAGGCUACAACUUUUGGACAUGGAAAGGUCACAGGAUACAUUAUGUUGUUGAAGGGGAAGGUCCUCCUAUUGUUCUAGUUCAUGGCUUUGGUGCUUCUGCUUUCCACUGGAGGUACUGUUACUCUGCUGUAAUUACACCGUUUACCUGAACCCACCAUUUUGGUUACUUGAAAUCAAAACUGCAGAGUGGAAAAAGCAACAGGAAAAGGUUGAAUCCCCUCUUUCCAUUUCACUUGGAAAAGCUGUGUAGUAAGUUUUGUGUUUGGAAUGAGAGCGAUUGCAUGUGGUGUUUUGGUUGAUAAAAUCAAUUAGUUAUAAGUUAUGUAAGUGUUGCUCCUUUAAUGUAUGUCACGAUUGAAAGACUGUUUAUAGAAUCCACAGUUGUUGUAGGGUCUCUUAAUAUUUCACUAAGUUUUAGUACUUGCUCCUGUUUGCAGAUACAAUAUACCUGAGUUGGCGAAGAAGUACAAGGUUUACGCCAUAGACUUGCUAGGUUUCGGAUGGAGUGAGAAAGCACUAGUUGACUACGAUGCCAUGAUAUGGAAGGAUCAAUUAGUGGAUUUCAUGAAGCAGAUAGUGAAAGAGCCAGCAGUUUUAGUGGGAAACAGGUACUCUCUUGUUACAGUAGGUUCUCCAGUCUCCACUAUAGAGUUUGGCGAAAAGAUGUCGAUUCAAAUCAAGGUUUACUUUGGUAUAAGUGUUGGUUCCAAAGUUUACAUAUAAAUCUUUCCAGUUGAUUACUUGCUUUUGAUAUGAGCGUUGUGUGCAAUUUGAAAUUCCGUUGCAUAGGUAUUCUGUAAUGUAGCUCAUCCUUACCUUUUUCAGCCUUGGAGGAUUCACUGCUUUGAUUUCCGCAGUGGGGUUACCUGAACAAGUUAUUGGAGUUGUACUGCUUAAUUCAGCUGGCCAGUUUGGAAAUCCAAAUGCGGAAACCAAGGAGUCUGAAGAAUCUUCACUACAGAAGUAUCUUCUGAAACCAGUCAAGGAAGUGUUUCAACGCGUUGUACUAGGCUUUUUGUUCUGGCAAGCAAAGCAACCGGCUCGUGUGGAGUCUGUCUUAAAGAGUGUAAGUAUUGAUUGGUCUUAGUUUGAGUGGAAACUUGCACGUCUCCUUUGAUCAGAACAUGCACACGUGGAAAUGUUCGAUUUUUCAUUGACAAGUAAAGAUCGGAUCUUUUGGUCUGGCCAGGAGUAUUUGUUGCUGAAACAUAACUAUCAAGUGGAUCCUUUCGAAAUUCUUGAAUUUAGAACUGGCAUUCCAUAAUUGCAUAUGAUCCUUUGGUAUCAUUACUCUAAUUAUGUGAUAUGACCCUUAGCCGACUACGAAUUUCAGAAUUUCAUCAAGUAUGCUUUACAUCAACCUUUCAUGUAGUUAAAAUUCUUAUCUUCAAAUGCUUUUUGUAUUCUCCCUGCUUGUUCAUACUUCAAUCCUUCGUGUAGAUCUUUAACAGCCUCUACUGGUAUAUAUUUCUCAGGUUUAUGCAAACAAAUCCAAUGUGGAUGACUAUCUUGUUAAAUCAAUCAUCCAACCAGCAGCAGAUCCAAAUGCCGGCGAAGUAUAUUACAGGUUUGUCUUUACUACUGUCUCUAUGCCCUCUGCUGAAAUGGUCUACUCAACUCUCUCUAUCUGGAACUUGGCUAGCCGCCUUGUACUCUUAAAGUCUACUAUAUCCACGUUGUGAACAUUAUUGUCGCUUCCUUUGUUCUGGACUAGGUUUUCCUAAUUUGCCAACUGUCCUCAACAUAUACUAGUAGAGUCUUAGUAGUUAGUACAAGUGUAAUGUUGUUACUCCUUGGCUCGAUGUUUUUGUCUAGAAUCAGAUAAACGGUCCAUAAACGGUCAUUAUAUCUCUAACUGUCUCUGUCAUUACUCAUUAUCCAUCUUAGAAUCCGAAAAUUCUUUUUUUUUUCGUGCAGAUUAAUGUCGCGAUUCAUGGUAAACCAAACGACCUACACAUUGGACAGUGCGUUGAGUAAACUCAGAUGUCCGCUUCUGUUGAUAUGGGGGGACUUGGACCCAUGGGUUGGUCCUGCAAAGGCAAGAAGAAUCAAGGAGUUCUAUCCAAAUACAACAGUAGUGAACUUGCAGGCCGGUCAUUGCCCCCAUGACGAAGUUCCCGAGCUUGUUAAUAAAGCUUUAAUGGACUGGCUACCUUCUCUAAAACCAGAACCCUCUCUCCAGACAAUGUAAAAAUGACAUCUUUACUUCUUUUUAGUGCUAUAGUUUGUAUAUUGCAUCUCUGUAAAGAGUCAAGGGUAAUGAUAUCCAUACGCUAAUAUCACUUGGAGCAUAUCAAAUGGAGUGAACUAAGUAGAGCUAGUUCCAGGUGAGUUGUGAAGUCCUGUCGUGAAAGUAGAAGUUGAAAUCCAGUAGCCGACGAGGGUCCAUAUCUAUAGCUGGUUCCAGCUGGUAUUGGAGAGUUUUGUCAGCUAGUUCUGAGUUUGGUGCUUUCGGCAAUGGAAACUAUUAUUGCAACUUUACAUUACAGCAGAGAAAUCGACACAAAGUACAUUGCAAAAGUAAGUUGCCUAUACUUGUAUUAUAUAAUAGAUCGGGUUCUUGGCGUCGUGCAAGUGCUGGUUAUUGCGGACAUCGUAGGUCUUACAAAAUUUCGCUGUAGACUAUAUUGCGGGUACUUUCUCGGACAUUGUCUCCUUCUUUCUACAGCAUGAUGUGGAUACCCGAUGCUGAACGGACCCUUGAAAGAGCAACAUAUAGUUGGUUGUGGCUAAAACACUGGAUUAUGCAAAUAAGCGUUUGUCCUUGACUCUUGUUAAUAAGCGUUGCAAAGCACAGUAGAAGAGGAUGUUGCCUCCGCUUAAGGGUAAAGGGCCAAUUCGGGUUUGUAUAAUCACGAACAAUACAUGAAACAAUCAAUAGCCAUUGUUCCUUCAUACGAUCUCGUAUGACAUAGUCACCCUAGUUCAAAUUAGUCCACAAUGACAAAUCAGUAUACGAUCCACACACAAAAAAUAUUCUCUCAAGUUCAUCAGAUAAGAUGAUGAACUGAACAAACUGAAAAACCCAAAUGAAAGUUUUAACGUCUGCAUAACUCCAUUGAUUAGAAUCCUUAGAAAAAACCCUACGAAUUAAAGAAAGAAAGAAUCCUUCGACAAUAGCUAGAAACAAUCGAUUGGGCAGCCUUACUUUGGUUUGCCAUCCAACCAAUGACAUCUGUACGUCCAGAGUAUAAACUAUGGAGCAACAGAAAUUCCAAAAGAAUUAAAGGCCAAAUAUAUAUUGUUUUAGGGGGAAGCAGUUAACCUUCUCUUCUUUUUUUUUGUAUAAACAACAACGCUGAUGUGUCAAAACAACAAAAAAACAACAACGUUGGUGUUAUAAAGUCGACGAAAUUAUCAUGGUACAUUUUCACUAAAACAGAAAAUUGAAGAAGAUGACAAGAGCUCGGCGGAAGGAUUGAAGUGGUAGCGACUAGCGAGUUCCUUGGAAAAUAAGAAAAUAUGAAUCUUGCCAAACAGACCUCAGAAUAUCAGCUCGUUAGGAGCACACACUAUUACCACUCAACCAUUUCCAAUAUAUAGAUUUUGAAAUUUAGAAUUAUAUAUACUGCACAUUUAAUCCUUAACUCGUCAUAAGUCAUUUUCGUUAAUUCACUCAAAGUAAUGUGACUUUGAGUUUGUUACGUAAAAUAUUACAUAAGCUUUAUGUUACGACGUUUACUUUUUGCUUAAUUUUGUAUGUUAUGUAAGGUUUAAUUAUUUUUAUGUAAGCCUAGUUUAAGUCUUUACUCUUGCGUAGUAGGUUUAAUUUUGUCUGUUACGUAAGGAAUAACUGUUGUUACAUAAGUCUUAAGUUUACGAACUUUACUCUUAUGUAACAUGUCUAGUUUUACAUGACUUGCGGUUGCAAUAUCCUCUUCAUUUGUGCUACUAGAUAGUGUUUCGACCCGUCUGAAUGACUUCAGAUUUUUCUCUCUGACUUUACUAUUGACAACAUAAAUAAAUCAGCUGACAGUUUUUUUGACCCAUUAGCCGAUUUGAAAUUUUUCUCUUUACGAUACUAUUGGUAACAUAUAAAUCAACCGAAUCAUAUAUAAUUAUCAAUAAGUAUCGAUGUCUCUCAAAACUAAAAACAAUAGUGAAAAUAUGUGUCUAAUAUAACAUUAUGUUUUUUAUUGUACAUGAUACAUUAUAAUUCUUAGGAUCUUACAAUAUAUAAAAUUAUUUAAUUCUUAAACUUUUUGUACAUGUGUGCGGUUAGAGGAGAUUAUAUGUUUGAAAGUAAAAAUAAAUAUGUCCACAUCAAUGCAUUAUUCAUUUUAAAACAUCAAUGUACUUUUAAAUACUUAAUAUGAUAAGACUAGUUGAAUUCUAUACUUACGGAUUAAAUAUAUUUUGAGAAGAGUUACCCAUACUUAAUUCAAAGUUGAAAAUAUGUAAAACUUAAAAAGAUAUAUUGAAAGUAAAAACAGAUAUGCCCGCAUCAAGGAAUAACCGCCGUUAAGUAAGCCUUACGUAACGACAUUUACUCUUAUAUAACGGGCUUAAUUUUACCUCUUACGUAAGGAAUAACUGUCGUUACAUAAGUCUUACGUAACGACAUUUACUUUUACGUGUAACAUGCUUAAUUUUGCAUGUUACGUAACAACAAUUAUUUCUUAUGUAAUGAACUCAAAGUCACCGUACUUUGAGUUAAAGCAAGUCCAAUGACUUGACACAAAUGUUUGUAAAGGCAUCUGUGACAGACCAGUGGAGGCAUAUACUCACAUCUAGAUAAAAGCACUCAUCACAAUCAAUUUCUAUAUGUAUCAUCAUCAUCAUCCUUUGAAGCAACAGAGCAUUUCUGAUUUAACUAAUAGUUUGCCCGGUUAAUAGAAAAUAGAUAGUUUGGCAGAGUGCAGGCUUGAAUACGAGAAGGAAAGAGUCAAUGUUUAGAAGGUACGUAGCAGCAGGCAAUUCCAGCCUGCAUCAGACGUUACAAACAAAGACAAUAGUAAAACUUUUUUACAACGUUUGUUUGUUGACAAACACAAGAAGCAUAUCUAGAAUCCUUGAGUUCCUUUGGCAACUAUCCACUUGUCCAACCUUGGAGCUAUCGAUCCACCCUUCCUCGUAAUCACCAUUCACUUCUCAUAUUUAAGCUUACAAUUCUCUUUGGUCUCUGCAUCAUAUCCAUCAAUUUUCUCACCUGGGUUUUCAUUUUACGUCCCUAGUCCAAACCUUUACCUCCCUAUGGACCUGGACAGCAACUAUUUCCCUACCUUGAACCGAACCAGGAGCGGCUACGAGCCAUCCGAUGUCGAAACCGAUUGGAAAGAAAGCCCGUUCCGUGGCAACAACAACAACAUCAACAACAACUACAGAGCAGGUUUUGACUCAGACAUUGACUUGGAUUUACCAGCUGGAAAAAACCCUCCAGCUUCCAACAGACAAUUCAGGAGAUUUGAUGCGACUGAUGAUUUAUCUUCUUCCUCUGAAGGAGGAGCUUCAAUCUCCAGCAGCUUAGCUCGCAGGAAGACCAAGUCACCUCACAAGAAUCCUCGACCCAGGUCAGCUAGCGCGACCCGGGUCAGGACCCGGGAUAAAGUGGAGGCGGUGAAGAGGAAUCCACCUCCACUUUAUCCGGUCAGCUCCAAUUCAAGGAGUGCUUCAGUUGGGGAGCUGAAUGAGAUGAUUGGGACAAUGAAGCUUUCCACUAGAGGUCCUGGAACGAAUCAUCGUUUGUGCGAAAGCACGGAUGAUUUGACAGCAGGAGAUAUUUUCUUCUCCAGGGAUGUAACUACCCCAUUGCCUACUCAGAAGAACAACGGCAGUUACAACAAUAUGCCAUCCGCAAGGUUCGAGAAGGUUAACUUGGAUCACAAGGCAUCAACGGGGUCUUCCAAUUCGACAAGUUCGGGAUCGCGAACCACCACGAGCUCUAACUCUAUCCACAGCAGUAAUGGGAAGCUCAGUAGUGAUACUAGUAAAGUGAGUGAUGCAAGCGGAAGAACAAGUGACAGCACCAAGGCAUUUGUGGCUAACAGGAAGAAGUCGUCGCAGUCGGAUUCUAAUUGGCUUUCUUGCAUCAAAGGAAGGAGUUGUAGAGUGAAGAACUCACCCGAGAAGCAAAGAUUGGACGAGUCUUCGUUCAUUGCGAGGGCUAAUGUCGUUGAGAACUUGACGCAGUUUUGGGCUGAUAAGUAUCAGCCAAGCUCGCUGAAAGGGUUCACUUACCAUAAACAAGAGGCUCAGCUUCUCAGACAACUUGUAAGAGAAUGAUUUCAAAAUUCUAUUUCUUACCAAUCUGGAUUAAGACUUGAUAUCCCUUAAUUUGGUGUUCUCUUUUUCAUCAGGUGUCUCGUGAGAAUAUACCUCAUAUCUUGUUUAAAGGACCGUCGAUCUCUGGGAAGACAGCAUUGAUAAUGGCACUUCUUGGAGACAUAUUUGGUGAUGCUUGUCUCAACGUAUGUCUUUUUUUCCUGCACUUCAAAUCUUUGAUGAAGAAUACAAAAGACAAUCUGAACCCUCUCCCAACUACUUGAGUUAUUGGGAUGCAAUAGUUUAUGACAAAAUCAUUCAACUUACUUUACUCUUUCAAUGUUUGAUCUGAUAGGAUGGGAAAAUAUUGCUUCUUUUCUUUUGCAGAUGUCACAUGACUUGAGAUUCUUCCAGGCUCAGGUACUUUAGACUCAUCGCUCUCAGAUGCUAAUCUUUCUUUUCCACUGCAUUGUUCUGGAAUCUUGAGAACUAUCUUUGAUAUCUUGUGGUGUUUUUCCAGGAGAAAAAGGGAGCACAGGUUGUAGUUCCAGUAACAUCAAGCGCUCAUCAUGUGGAGCUCAACGUCAAAUCUGAACCUAAUGCCAUGAGUGCCUUGAUGGGUUUGGUGAAAGAGAUCAGCAAUGCAUACUCGCUAACUCCAGAUAUCAGCACGAUAAACCCGAGGCCGGAAUAUAAAGGUUGGAGCACCAGAAAUGUAAUAGGUUAUAUGGUCUCAGAAGAUUCUUUACUGGAAACACCCUUUUGAUUUUUUUUUUGUCUUCCACAGUGAUAGUUCUUUAUGAGGCAGACAAAGCACCAGAGAAUAUCCAGCACUUGAUCAAAUGGAUCAUGGACUGCUACACAGAUUGUUGUAAGCUCAUCCUCUGCUGUGACGAUGAUGUGGACGUGCUUGAAUCUGUCAGAAAUCGAUGCAAAGUUAUUAAUGUCAAUCCUCCCGCUACUCAUGAAGUACGUCCAGAAAAGGAAAAUUUUGAAACAUGAUCAUUUUAGCUUGAUGAACACUCAAAACUGAAAAAAAACCAUGAAUUACUGGCAGAUCAUGGAGGUUCUUGUUCAUAUAGCAAAGAAAGAAGAGUUUGAUCUACCGAUGAAUUUCGCUGCUAAGAUUGCUACAAAAUCAAAGGACUUGAGAAGGGCAAUCAUGGCACUUGAAGCUUGCAGAGCACACAAGUAAGAAAUCAUUAAAGGCAGAGCACACAUUGCAUCUUACACAUUCAUUCAACUAAAAAAACAUUUUUUUUGCAGUUAUCCUUUUGCCAAUGAUCAACCGAUUCCAAAUGGUUGGGAAGAGGUGUUGGUCGAAAUCGCCAACGAAAUCAUGGCUGAUCCGUCCCCUAAGAGGUCUGCAUUUUCUUCAUUGUUAUGUAUAAACCAACUAUGAAUGGAACUCAUCAAGUAAAAGAAGUGCAUACCUGUUUUGAAUUAUUAUUUCGGCAGGCUGUUUCUGGUAAGAGGGAAGUUGCAGAAGCUUCUUGUGGAUUUUGUGCAUCCUCUACUUAUCCUUCAGGUAAACUACCACACACAGACAGACACCCGCCAUUGUUGCUGCUGUUUUUUCUUUCUGCUAAUGUAGCCUGACAUUUUCUUACUACGAAACAACAGAAACUUGUCGAACAUUUCCUCAAGGAGAUGCCGUCCAGUUCCAAAAGAGAGCUUUACUAUUGGAAAAGCUACUAUGUAACGUUUCCUUUCUUCACGAUCAACAGUUUUUUUUUCUUUCUCCAAGUGGAAUUGUUUUUGAGUGUUGGUGCUUCAUGUUUCUUGCAGGAAAAGCGACUCCCAACAGGCACAACCGCCUUGCUCAAACUAGAAGGUAACUUGCUAUUCUAUCAAAUUGUAUACACCAGCAAAUUCGUAAGCCAUCUUAGUUUGGUACCAACUAUUCGAACUUUCUGCAGAAUUCGUGGCCAAGUUCAUGAGCAUGUACAGGAAGAGUAUCGGGAGUCCCCAAUUUUGAGCAAGAUCAUAUUUUCUGUGAUUCAAGCUCUCCGCCUAUUCAUUAGUCACAUAAAAUUUCUUGUAAAUUCGGCCUUCCCUUUCGAAAAUCUAAGCUGCCAUUGCAACAGCAUGCCUGCAGCUCCUAUCAUUUAUUCACAAUUUUCCGAUUCUAUAUUGUAUUGUCUGCCUCAACUCAUAAGGGAAUGGUUUCUCUGCAACUCAUUUUUGCUUUCCACACACCAUACAACAUCUGAUCUUACUUGGUAAUGAUAUAGCAAGGGGGUUCAAAGAAUGGAAAACAAUGAAGCAUCCAGCAAGGAUUUCGAAUCUUAGCUACGUACAUGUUUCAUGAACCAUCGUUCCUUUUAGCUAAUCAAUCUUUAGUCAGAAUAAAGGGAGGGAAAAAGUGGCAGAUGCAGCCAAGUCGAUAACACCAACUCCCUUACAAUUUACAGUAAUCAAAAACUUCAUCUCCAGUUUUCAUCAGCUGCGUUACGUGUAUUGGUGGAUUCCUCCCAUUGUUCUGGAGCUUCAGUCCUGCGGCUUGCUACUGCUUUCAGAACGCUUGUUCCCUGUGUACUUCUGCAAAACAUUAUACAAUAUACGUAAGAUGAUAGAAGUAAAACAAUGGUAAUUGAUUAUGUGUUGCAGAUUACUGAGCCUAUUACUGACCUUCUUCCCCAAGUCAAACGGAAUAUACUUAUACUUGAUCAUAUGCAUGACUUGUCUUCUCAUUGUGAGGACAAAGAGAACAAUCCAGUAAAUCACUAAGAUCGGCCAGAACACAGGUACGUCCAGCACAGAGAAAAAGGUCAUGACCAGAGCAACUAGGAACGCCUUGGUUAUCGCGUACCUGGGAACAUGACAAACCAAAUGUGACGAAAUCCCUUUCGAAAUGCAAUAUGAAGUAAUGAAACUGAUGAACCAGAUAAACUAGCUAGGCACAUUUUCCUUCAUACAAGAGUUUCAGCAAAUACUCUAUGGUGUUCAACAGUAACAAUUAUCGAUUUGAACCAGUAUCAAUGAUCCGUUCCUUGUUGCUAGGUUGCAUUCAAUAACAAGGAAUUGUUAAAUUAGGCAUCAUUGAUCAACACUCGGUGAGAUGUUGAUAAAGCGAGAGAGAACUGCAACCGCCAAGCAAGAACAAUAGAUCUACCAGUAAUUCUUAAUCGAGUUUCUGGCCUAAGCUAACAAACACAUCGACGGUUCUUCUGAAAACUAGCAAACUAGUAAUAGUCAACAUUCAGCUGAAAUACUAAAAAACUACCAGAAUUAGCAACGAGCUGAAGGAAGUUGUACCAGAAUUUGAACUCAGGCAGUCGGCGAACAAAAGGCUUGAACUCAUCGGAAGUCUUGGUCGGUAGGGAAGGUCCAUCGACCGAUUCAAGCUCCGGAUCAACCUUUGGGGACAGGAAUCCAAUCAGCAGAUUCAAAAUGUAGAUCCCGAGCCCGUAGGAGACGACGUAAAACCCUUGGACAUAGUAAAUCCGCAAGACGUAGAGAAUCGCCACCGCAAGGGUUCCUAGCCACCUGAGCAUCGGCUGAGGCACCGAUCUGUCGAGAUAGUGCUGAAACACCCUGGAGAAGUCGCUGCUCCACUUGACGAGCUGGGGGACGCCUUCACUUCCCGGUUCCGCCAUGGAUUCUAAUCUGAAGAGGUCGUGGCAAGGGUUUCUAGAAGUAGCGAAUGGUAAGUUGCUGGUUGCGUAAGUUUGGGAGCUGAGGAGAAAGUAGAAACGCUUUGCUGCAGCUGCUGCUUUGAUUCUUGUAGGGAAGAGAGAGAAAAAAGAGAGGACGAGAAGUGAGAAGGAAACGCUAACGGCCAAAUUUUGUCCUCAGUUACCGUCACCACGUAAAGAAAAGUAAAUCCCGAUUCUGCCGCAGUUGGACUCAAUGAACCGGCAUUUUUCUAUCAGUUAUUUCCGGAGCUAAUACCCGAGCAAACCGUUUGGUUCGAUCUAAAAGCUUUGAAUCUUUCGUUAUGUUGGUAUAGCCUGCUACGGGUUUGGUACCAAUAAAACCUCCAAAAUCAUCCCAAAUUUCACUUCGAUUUAGGCCUCAGCUCGUAAAUCUGGCUAUUUAAAUAUACCCGAAUUUCUUUUCUGAUUCGCUUUAGGUUGGUUUAUAUGUGUUUCACUGACUACUCAAAAUGAAAUGGUUGGCUAUUUAACCAUUUCAUUGGCUCAACUCAAAAUGAAAUGGUUGGCUAUUUAACUAUAUCCGGUUUCGAUGCCAGGCAAGGAAGGUGCAAGAAAGAGGAUGGCAGCCACGUGGUUCCGACGAGACCACGAUUGUUGCUACCGUUACAGAGGAGUCUACUGGGAAGCUGGGGAAAGGAAGGAUUGUGAUUCAAAUACACAAUCAAAAUAACAGUAGAUAAGAUACUUGGAUAGUGGGAACCCCUUCAAAACCAAAGAGGGGACUUACUAACUUUAGAGAUCAGCAUCAUCAGUAUAGUCGAUUGGAAGUAAGAAUGUAAAACACUAAAGCAUCCAGCAAGGAUCCGAGUCUGUCCGACUUUAACUAUAUGCAUACACCAAUCUAAAGGCUAAUUCCACGGUUUCUGUCCAACACCAGCGAAUAUCACGAUGUCUCCUCCUGCUGAUAACAACACAUCAGCAGGAUCCCAAGUUCUUCAGUUUUGUAAGACUCGUGCAACAAUCUUCAACAGCAUUGGAUCGGAUCGUCGAGUGGUUCCACUGUUUCAGUCCCGGGACUUGCUACUGCUGCUUUCAGAACGCUUACUCCCAGUGUACUUCUGCAAACAUUAUCAAAUACCAAGUUACAAUAUCAAACUGGAGGGAUGUAACAUAAAAGGAGAGGAUUCAACUAAGAAGAGUUCAACCCCUCAUGCAUUACAAACAGCUAACUGACCUUCUUUCCCAAGUCGAAUGGGACAUACUUAUACUUGAUCAUAUGCAGAAUUUGUCUCUUCAUUGUGAGAACAAAGAGAACAAUCCAAUAAAUCAGGAGGAUAGGCCAGAAAACCGGCACGUCCAGCACAGAGAAAAAGGUCAUGACGAAUGCAACUAUAAAAGCCUUGGUGAUGGCAUACCUGCAACCAUAAGACUGGCAACUGUUAUGUCAAAACAGUUACUACCGUUACAUUUCAUCCACAUCCUACAAGCUCAAAUCAUUUGAUGUACUUCACUCAUGGCAAUAAUAUAUAGAGGGAGAUGCUGACAGUAGAAGCACUUUGGAAGUUAGGUUCAACCGCUGCACAUAUAGAUGCUUAACUUAGCAUAAAAACUCUUAGCAUCUAGCCAUCUACUAAGCAAAAAUCAGGCAAUCCCAUGGAUGCUAUUCACAUCCCCAUUCAUGGACAACAAAAGUUUCAGCAACAAAACAGAUGCUGAUCCUUGUUGAUUUGGUCAGUGAUGAGUGAUGACUUUAUAAGAUAUCAACCUUCUUGAACCAAAACAAUCAAUCCAAGCUGAUCCACCAACGAACUUUCCUAUCAGAAAUUCCACCACUAAGAUAAGAUCACUUGCGAUUUCUAUUCUUGCUUCUGACCUUGGCCAAACCUAGGGCUCCUAGCCUUCUCUAUCGCAGUUUCCAAACAAGCAUCCCGAUGGUUCAUACCGAAUGUAUUCUUACGUAUCAUCCUAAGAAUAAAAUCCAUUUAUCUAAAGCAGAACAAAGAAAAUUUACCAGAACUUGAAUUCAGGAAGCCGGCGAACGAACGGCCUGAACUCAUCUGACGUUUUAGUCGGCAAGGAAGCGCCGUCCAGCGAUUCAAGAGCUUCAAGCUCGGGAUCAACCUUCGGAGACAGGAAACCGAUCAACAGAUUCAAGACGUAGAUCCCAAGCCCGUAAGAAAUGACAUAGAAACCCUGGAUAGAGUAAACCCGCCAGACAUAUAUCAGCGCCACCACCAGACUCCCCAGCCACCUCUGCAGUGGGAGAGGCGCGGAUCUGUCGAGAUAGUACUGGAACGCCCUGGAAAAGUCGGCUUUCCACUUGACGAGCGGCGGCACGGUUUCACUUCCUCCUCCUGCGUCCUCCAUAGGAAAUAUCGAGCCAAUUAGUUCGUAGCGAACAAGCAAAGCACGACCUCGCGGAGAUUGAGGCGACGGAGAAGGUAGGGAAACUAGUAUGACGCUCAGCUGACGCGGCGGCGGUCGCUUCUCUUCAAUGGAGUUCCAGUCGUUUUCUUGCUUAUGGAGGAAAGCCCGGAAAAAUAGAUGACCUAUGGUUGUGGGGAGAGAGAAGAAAGGUAAGGAUGAGGAGGCAGUAACAACAUACACCCGUGCGUACGUAUCGAGAAUAUGAAUCUUACUUGCGAUUUGUGCCACGAGGGUUUAUUGUUGUGACUAGUCCUUCUAUUCAACGGCUUAGAUGAGAAGUCAAAUUCGAGAACAUUCGUACCCACAGGAUCAAAAUUCUGUCAAGCGCUCGUCAUCCAACGGCUGAAAUGCACCUAUGACUUCGUAUUGAAAAUGGCUCCUGUCCUGGUCUACUGAAGUCAUCUCUCGACCUUUCUGGAAAGAAAUAUUAAUAAGCAGCAGAUUUCUGCUCCUCCACGCUUCUCCGCUCUUCCUUUUUCUCGUUUUUGCAUUACUGGUUUCUCCGCAAGGUCAUAGUCCAAGUGAGUCACCCUCUUCCAUGAGCUCCAUCGCUUGUUUCUAUCGCAAGAUUUUAUGGCUUCCGAUUUAACUUUUCAUCAGCCGUCAACGAACCUGUUGCUGCGUUUCUUUCUUGGUUGAUUGAACUGAUGAAAUGGUUUACUGAAUCGCAUUUAGUACGAUCAUUUUGCUUGAUAGUUGUUGCCUCUCUUUUCCCAGCAAAUGGAUAAAUUAAACAGUUCCAGUUUCUGGCCGUGAGCCUAGUUUGUGUACUAUUUGAUUAUACAUGUCCCUUGAUGAUUUGCAUGUUGGGGGAUCGGGGCUAACGAGUGGCACUUGGAUUAGCUAUUUAGCUCCUAUGGAUGUUCGAUUGUGGAGAGUUUGUUCUCAUCUUUGUUAACUGUUUCUGCUUUAUAUCAUCUUUCUGGUGCGUUUUGUUUAAUCCUUGAGUUCGAUUCUCCGAUCAUUAACCCUGAUCACCCAUUGGUUCAUUGGUUUCGUUUAUAUUGAUCUGUGUGCUUUUUUGGCUGUUCAUUUAAUAUAAAUUCAUGGCGUAUAAUCCUUUUUGGUUUUGAGAUUGUUGGACUGCUUUUUUGCACCAUAAAGUUUGGAUCAAUCUAUAGCAGAUUAGUUUCAGGAAAUGAUUUUAUUCUAGAUUUUGUUCUGUGUGAUUAUAUGAUGUGGGUCUGAUUGAGUUAAGGUUGACGUGUUUGAAGCUGAGUGGAAAAUAAGGAUGGCCGGCAAUGAUGGAGAAGCCAGCAAACCCUCACAGCAACCCCGUCCAGCACUCAAUGAAAGGAUCCUUUCUUCAUUGACACGAAGAUCUGUUGCGGCGCAUCCGUGGCAUGAUUUGGAGAUUGGUAUAUCCUUUUCCAUGCUGCAGUUGUUUUAACAGUUAUGUUGAGCCCGUCUGGUCAUCUUCUUCGUUGCAUUCUGCCCCCACUGACUCUGUUGAACUUCCACAUCUAUGUAGGACCUGGGGCACCAUCUGUAUUCAAUGUUGUAAGUAUGCUUUCCGAUAAGAUUUCAUUAUAUUAACCAUGAUACAGGUUGGAAAUUAUCGGGAACUUUAUCGAGUAUCCUCGAUAACAUUGAAGAUAUUGCUCGGAUCUGAUUGGGACAUUUACGUUGAAUGCUGUAAAUAUGACCAACUGGGGUCACUAAGUUGCCUUUUGAUGGACACUGUGGUGUGAAAUGGCAGGUUGUUGAAAUUAGUAAAGGCAGCAAAGUUAAGUAUGAGCUUGACAAGAAAUCUGGCCUCAUAAAGGUAAUAGCUUCUCCCUUCCAUGUAUCUAUAGGUUAAAUUUUAAAACAAGUUGCAAUGCAUUAAGCGAAGUAAUUUGUGCUGCGAUUUCACAAUUUUGAAUAGGUUGAUCGUGUUCUGUACUCAUCGGUUGUGUACCCGCAUAACUAUGGUUUUAUUCCGAGAACCAUCUGCGAGGAUAGUGAUCCUAUGGACGUCCUGAUACUGAUGCAGGUAACUUGUUUGAGCGACUACUUCUUAAUUUGCGGUGAGGAUAAAUUAUCUUUAAAUUUGAAAUUUCAGACAUCUGACUAACAUUUCCUGUUCUACUUUUGCGUAGGAACCUGUCCUGCCUGGUUCUUUCCUUCGUGCUCGUGCCAUAGGAUUAAUGCCUAUGAUUGACCAGG